UACGUAGGGUGCAAGCGUUAUCCGGAAUUAUUGGGCGUAAGGAGCUCGUAGGCGGUUUGUCGCGUCUGCUGUGAAAACCUGGAGGCUCAACCUCCGGACCUGCAGUGGGUACGGGCAGACUAGAGUGCGGUAGGGGAGAUUGGAAUUCCUGGUGUAGCGGUGGAAUGCGCAGAUAUCAGGAGGAACACCAGAGUCGGAGC
Molecule: ribosomal RNA, 200 nt
Filed under: uncultured bacterium
Lineage: Bacteria
Description: partial 16S ribosomal RNA
Rfam family: Bacterial small subunit ribosomal RNA
Source: RNAcentral